UGCGCAGGCGGUUUUUGUAAGACUGUCGUGAAAUCCCCGGGCUCAACCUGGGAAUGGCGAUGGUGACUGCAAGGCUAGAGUUUGGCAGAGGGGGGUAGAAUUCCACGUGUAGCAGUGAAAUGCGUAGAUAUGUGGAGGAACACCGAUGGCGAAGGCAGCCCCCUGGGUCAAAACUGACGCUCAUGCACGAAAGCGUGGGGAGCAAACAGGAUUAGAUACCCUGGUAGUCCACGCCCUAAACGAUGUCUACUAGUUGUCGGGUCUUAAUUGACUUGGUAACGCAGCUAACGCGUGAAGUAGACCGCCUGGGGAGUACGGUCGCAAGAUUAAA
Molecule: ribosomal RNA, 331 nt
Filed under: uncultured bacterium
Lineage: Bacteria
Description: bacterial SSU rRNA
Rfam family: Bacterial small subunit ribosomal RNA
Source: RNAcentral